GGUACAUGUAAAUACAUGUUUUACAGGACGUGAACUCAUGUCGUGUGUUGAGUAUGACCUUGUUUUGGUACAUGUAUUGCUUGAAAGGCUGUCUUGGUAUAUAUGACUUGUUGCAAACGACCAGAUUGGUUUUGAUAUAUAUGACAUAUUGAUGAUGAUUUAUUCAAUAUGGUUUUGUAGAUGCUUGAAAGAUGGAUGUUGGAAGAUGAGGAUGGUGAUUAUGAUGAUGAACUUGGUCUGUUUGAUGUGCCUAUUACUGAGAGAUUGAGUCAU
Molecule: long non-coding RNA, 273 nt
Filed under: Brassica napus (rape)
Lineage: Eukaryota; Viridiplantae; Streptophyta; Magnoliopsida; Brassicales; Brassicaceae
Description: long non-coding RNA (BNAP_LNC020015)
Source: RNAcentral